Molecule: small RNA, 267 nt
Filed under: Meriones unguiculatus (Mongolian gerbil)
Lineage: Eukaryota; Metazoa; Chordata; Mammalia; Rodentia; Muridae
Description: 7SK RNA (ENSMUGG00000022248.1)
Rfam family: 7SK RNA
About the family: 7SK was discovered as an abundant small nuclear RNA in the mid-70s but a possible function has only recently been suggested. Two independent studies have found that 7SK RNA binds the CDK9/cyclin T complex (known as elongation factor P-TEFb).
Source: RNAcentral
GGGUGUGAAAGUGACUUGGCUGUAACAUGUGACCCAAUGACUGGCUGUCAAGGCGGGUUCUCCACUCGCUUCCUCACUGUUCCACCUGUGUUCCUCCCAAAGCUGCAUGCCUGGGUGAAGAAGAUGACCUUCCCCACAGAGGAGGACCAGUUCUGGAUCAGGGGCACACAGGUAGCUGCACUCUCCUGCAAGGACAUCCAGACACACUCUGAACCAGGCCACAUGCCCACAUGUUCCCAGGCUCCUUCGACAGGUUUGUCGGUAGAA